GGCAAGUCAUCACUAUGAUUGGGAAAGAAGCCAAAAUUAUAAUAAAAUGAAAACCUGUGCAUCAAAUCUGAAGGAUGAGUAUAAAAUAGGAUAAACAGUCUUAAAUGAAGAAAUUCAAAAAUAGGAAGCUGAAUUACUUCUCUGAGGAUGUCUUGUCACUAAAACAUGGAGAAUCCAACCUACCCUGCGUAGUUGUGGAAUCCCUCAGAUGACAGCAGUGAAGAAUAAGGAUGAAGAUAGCACAUUCUCAUUGUCAUUAAGAUUAAAAUAAUCAAGAUGUAUGAACUGAGCACAGUAAGAUCAGAGACAUAAUAUGGACUCAGCAAUGCUGGCUGAUUUUGCGGGAUUAUUAAUGAAGAUGUUAAAUAAGAAGAAAGCAACAUCCUUCCCCAUGUACUGCAGUUGAAUUACUAAUCACUUCACGAAUGCUGAAGAAAGCAUUUUAAAAAAGUUUUUUCUGCAAUAUAUACAACCUACACUGAAAAAUCUUAAGCUAUAUGUACUUCAUUCAAUUCAUUCAUGCAUACGAAUAUUCAAAACCUUCAUUUAAGCUCAAAGGCCAUGGAGAUAAAAAAGAAGACAAAUUAACCAGUUGACAAGGACCUAGCUGUCCAAUGUGUUGACUUUGUUGUUACACAAUAUAGUCAAUUCUCAUUAUUCACCAAUUCUGUGUUUGCAAAUUCCCCUAUUUACAAAACUUUAUCUGUAAACCCAAAACUAAUACUCACAAUGCAUCCAUAGACGUGUGCAGAGCAGUGGAAAAUUUGAAAAGUUGCCUGAUGCUCACAUUUUCAGCUAAGGUGAACUUUGCCUGCUUGUCUCAGUUCUCAUACUAUAAACAAGCAUCCUUUUUGCAGAUUAUUUAGUGCCUUUUUUUUUUUUUUUUGCAUUUUUGUGUUUUUGUUGGUGAUUUCGAUGUUUAAAAUGGGCCCCAAGUAUAGUGCUGAAGUGCUGUCUGGUGUUCUUAAGCACAGAA
RNAcentral lists this long non-coding RNA (976 nucleotides) under Homo sapiens (human). Its description in RNAcentral is "HSALNT0370002". Lineage: Eukaryota; Metazoa; Chordata; Mammalia; Primates; Hominidae. The record is from RNAcentral.